Long non-coding RNA from Homo sapiens (human), 887 nucleotides. RefSeq annotates it as GPC5 intronic transcript 1. The transcript has 2 exons. NCBI's taxonomy places the organism in Eukaryota, Metazoa, Chordata, Mammalia, Primates, Hominidae. The record is from RefSeq and is marked validated.
GUUGACUGAAAUGUGCUUAUGCAGCACAUAUAUAAUAAAAAUGAUAAAAGGCUACUCUCUUUAGAAGGACAGACAACAUUGACCACGAUAGUGCCUCAUGCAAAGGAGACAUUCUACAAAUGUGUUGGGAAUGGAAAGCAGAUAAAGAUGUGAUCGAGAUGAAAGAGAAAAAUGGCAUUUGGAAUUCUCCCUUCAGAGAUCAAAGUUAACAGUAUGGUGAUACGGCAUCCAAGGAAGACAGAAAUAACUGAUUUCAAGACAGCGAAAUUUCUACAAUUUACCAGUUAUUUAAAAGCUAGCAAACAAACAACGGCAUACUCACCUUCAUCUGUUGGGGGAAAAUUAUUUUUUGUCAUUGCUCACUUCAACAUGGGCGCAAUGAGAGAUAAGAGACACUAAGAAAUGAGUGUAGAAAUGAAUAUUUUUGCUCAUUCUGCUAGAAAAUAUAAUACUUAGUAGAAACAGAUUCCUGAAUUGCUACACUUUAAACAUGCAAUCACAUUUUACUAUUAUAUGCUAUACACAUACUCUAAAUGUUGUAAGCUUAAUAUUUCAGAUUGUAUAAGAGAUUUUGAGGCAUGUUAUUGUACAUACAAAUAACAUAAAUAGGGUUACCAUCCUAAUCCAAGGGUUACUUAGAAAAGAAACCAAUACUAUUUUUGAUAUAUUAUUAAUGACAUUGUCUUCUGACAACAUAAUUUCUUAUACACACUGCUUUUACUUUAAAAAUUGUUUCUAGAUAAACAUAAUGUUUUUUCCUCUUUUGCUGUUUUUUUAUUUUUGGAAAAAUUAAAGGCAUCUUUAUGUUUAUUCUUAGAGAUAACUCAGCUUCAUCUUGGCCCACUUUCAAGUAAAAUUCAAAUAAAUUAAUUUGAGGGAUGUCAAAA